CAAUGCCGAAGGUGGGAGGUCUCCACUCACUGCUAAUGCAAGAGCAAUGAGAAGGCAGUCACUAACCGGCAUUCAGACAUCCGGGCCCUGGAGAUCAUCUGUUAUAGGGAAGUCAUCUGACUCCUGUAAGUAAAAACAAACUAAAGCAUCAGUUAUCAGAACAUUGAAAUUCUUCUAGGUUAUGUUUGGUUCCCGGAAAAUAUUGAGGAAAGAAAAAAAAUGUAAAGGAAAAUGAUUUUUUCAUGUUUGGUUGUCCUAUGAAAAAUAUAAAAGAAAAUCAAAUAUAAUUAAAACUAAUUAAAAACUUGUGUAUUUUAAAAUUAUUUAAUGUUUAUAUUAAUGAGUUAAAAUAAAUAAAAUGAGUUUGAAGUAAAAAAUAAAAAUAACUUAUCAACUUUUAAUCUAUUUUUUAUUUUCCUUCACUUUUUCUUUCCUUCUAUUUUUCCUUUGUAUUUUAUUUCCCUUGCAUUAUUCCUCAAAUUUUAUGAGAACCAAACAUAGUCCUAGAGUUUCUUAAAGUAUAUAAAUAAAUAUAUUUAUUUUAUUUUAUUUUUUCUUUUUAUAGGUUCAAAUGAAACAAGGAAUGCCUAGACGCCUCCUCCAGUCCACCGGUCAGCCAAGAUGACAAAGCAAUGACAAUAAUAAUUAUAGAUGAGCAAAGAAGACUACGCUUGGUGCUUUAACUCAAAGCAUACUACUGACCACAAGCUGACAUUUGGGUUGGAAAAUUGUGUGACCAUGAUUAUGAGUGGAAAGGUCAGAUACUGACCCAUCAUUUGUUGAGUGUCAAGCCCCCACUUCUGAUUAAUAAUUAAUGUUACAUGAUCAAGCUCAUUCUUCUUCUUAUUGCAAGCCCUAAUAGUUGGGUUUAGGCUGAUUGAAAUGCAAUUGGUUCCAAAAAAAUUUGUGGGCGAGGCCCAUUUUGCCACCUUGAGAUUCAAUUUUGUAAUUUUGGGCUCAUUCCAUUUGUAUGUAAAUAAUUGUGAUGGUGCAUUAUGCCAAAUAUAUCUUUCACAACUUACAUAUUUUAUUCUAAAUUUACAACAUUAUUACUCUUGAUUAAAAAAAUAAUUAAUUGGAUUUCACUAUUUUUUUAGUUUAGAAGACAUAAAAAAGGGAAGAUUUUUUUUAUCAAAUUCUAUUUCAUGAUUUUAUAUCUUGAUAUGUAAUUUUCUAGAUUUUAUUAAUAUAUUUUUAAUUAAAAUGUUUAAAAUCGUAUAAAACCAUUAUUAUAUUAUAUUGUACAUAUUAAAUAUAUAAAAAGAAUUUUGUAUAUAUUAAAUAUAUGCAUUCUAUUAAAUAAUAUUAUUUUAAGUUGUAUUAUAUUUAACUUUGUCAAUUCUUUAUCUUUAACCAAAAUUUUAAUUGUAAUUAAAACCUUUCAUUUUACAAUUUUGAAACAAUACAGAAAGUUUUUGAAAAGAAUUGAAAGAAAAUAUGAUGGAAUCUAAGAAAGAGGUUUUUUCUUUAAUAAGUGGUGGAUAUGGAAUUCUGGAGGGUACGCUGUCUAUGGAAUUCUGAAGGGCUUGGCAGUAUGGGAAAAAAGAAGCGGGAAAGACCGAGAAAGAGGAUGGUUUAACCGUACCUCAUUAUUUGACCUUCUUUCAUGGGAUAUUUACCACAGUGGCAAUCUUAUUAAUAAUAAAGCGAUCAUUCUAGAAAUCUUCACACUCUUCUUUUAGCCUUCCCAUAAUUUCCCGCAUUUCGAUAUUUUAAAAUACUAAUUUUUAGUACCCAUAUAAAUUUUGAAAGAUCCAUGAUUAGUGUACUUAAAUAAAAAAACUCCAAUAAAAUCUAAUUUGUUACUUCAAAUUUGAAAAUUUUAAUACAACAAAACGGCAUUAUCAUUAUUAUUGUAAUUAAGUCAUUUUUAAUACUUGCUUUUAAAUAUCGUUUCAUGGUAUACAAUAAAUAUCAAUAUAUUAAAUCAACGUAAUUGUAUUAUUAUAAAUUAUAAAAUAAUGUUUUAUAUGAUAUAAGAUUCAUAUCAUAAUUAUAUCUAAAAUUUUAUUAGCUCGAUCUAAUCUUUAUGUUCUACCAUAAAUUGUGAAAGAGAAAGUAAAAAAAAGCAAUAUUAAAAUAUAAAAUUGAUUUCUAUCAACUUAUAUUAUAAAAAUAAUUGAGGUAGGCUAAUUUGUAUAAAAUUAUUAUUAAUAGAUAAUGUGCAUGUAUCAUGUAUGUUAUAAAAGCUUUUAACUUAUAUUAUUUUCCUAAUUUUUACUAUGUGAAAUAAAUUAUGCUAUUGUUAAUAAACUUUAAUGGUUUGUUUGGUCUUUUUUUUUCUUUUUUUUCUUUUUGAGAAUUUAAGGAAAAAAAUGAAAAAGAAAAUAAAAUAUAAUAUAAAAUUGAUAAAUUAUUUUACAUGUUUUUUUCAACAAUUAAAAUAUAUAAUUUUCUAACUUAAUUUUAAUAAUAUUUGAUUUUAUUUAUUUUAAGAGCAAUGAGAAUCUAAAAUUAUGUCAUUUCCGAAUAAGUAAAAACUUAAUGUCACUUUAGUCAUUACCCCAAUUUUUAUUUUUAAUGUUUAUUAAAAUUAUAUUUAUAUAAAACAAAAGAAAUAAAAUUCAAAGACAGAAGAGUUAAAAAAUAAAAAUAAAUAAUUGUUUAAAAUGGAUCAUUUUAGACUUGUAAAAGUAAUUCUCCCACGUUUAAAUUUUCAUAAAUAUUCUUUAAUAUUUAUAUUAUUUUUAUGUGUAUUUAAAAAAAAUAUUAAUUUUAUGGGAAAAAAUUGGAGGAUAAUUUCUUUUUUUCAAAUAGGUCAUUUUUUUAGACUGGAUGGAAUACAUGAAGGGUUAUUUUUUUUUUAAUCAAAUCACCAAAUAAUGAAAAUAUCGGAUAUAUCGAUACUUCGAUUUUACAGAUAUAUCGAAAAUAUCGGCGAUGAAUAUUUUUUCACAAAUAUUGUGUGUAGCGAAAAUUAUUUAAAAUUCACAUGAAUAUUUGGAAAAAGUCCAAAAAAUUGAUAAAAUAAGUAAGAAAACAAAUUUUAAAGUUAUUUUGAAUUUGAAUUUUAAAUUAGAUUGAUAUUUGAAUUUUAAAAAUAAUAAAUAUGAAUUUUGGAAGUAUAUAAAAUCAGAAUUGAGUUAAAAAAAAUAUUUGAUUUAUUGAAUAAAAAUAAUUUAUACAUAAAUAUAAUACAUAUGACAUUAAAAUAGUUUUUUAUAUCAAAAUAAAGAUUUAGUUUCAUCGUAUUAUUAAAUGAAAGAAGUUCAUCUUCUUAAACAAUAUUUAUUUUAAAUUUUUAAUUUUUUUUUAUUAAAAUAGGUUUUAUUAUAUUUUAAAUGAAAAUUUAAAUUAAUUUAUAUAAAAUAUUUUAUUUAAGAUUUAAUUUUUAAAAUUUUAUUAAAAUAUGUGAUAACAACUUUUUUUAUUAAUAUUAAUUUAUUUAAAUAAUUAAAAUUAAUAAUAAUUUAUUUUAUUAAAUUAAUUUUAAUUUAUAAAAUAUCAUCUAUAAAAUCGGAAAUUUCAAUUAAAAUAAAGACGAAUAAUUAAUAAUUAUUUAUAUAGAGGGAGGAAAAUUGUUUUCGUGAUUUAUUUCCUUUUUUUUUUUAAUCUCUACUAAAUUUAAAAAUCAAAAGGGCAACCCACUUCUCUCAUGGCGCCGCAUCAAGAAGCCCUUUCUGAAAUUGCCCUCCAAACGAGAGAAUCCCCUGUUUUCCUCUGCCACUCUCAAUCCUCGCAGGUACUAAUCUAAUUAUUUUUUUGGCAACCCCCAUUUGAUUCCCAAGAAAAUCCAUCCCCCAUUCAACCUUUGCCUGCAAAUCAUGAUCAGAUUACCAAAUAACAUCGUUUGUUUUUUUUUUUUUAUAAAAUGGAUAGAUUUUGUAUCCUGUGCGCGGGCUGAACUGGUAGGAAAUAUCCUAGUCCUUUAAUUUAUGCAAGAUGCUAAACUGGACAGAUUUUGUAUAAAAUUAAAGUACUUUAAUUUUCUCUUUUUUCUUUUUCAUCUGAAAGAUUGUUUAAUUGUUUGAUUUAGUUGUUUUUUUUCCCCACCUUUUUUAAGGCUCCGCUGGAAUUUGCUUUUUAUUUUGAGCAUUGUUAGAAAUUGAUACGUUUCAUUAUGAAUCAUCGUUUCACAGACAAGAAAAAAUGUAAUUUUUUUAUUCACUAUUUUAACCAUAAUUCUGUUUGGUUCCCAAGAAAAAACUAGGCAAAUGAAAGAAAAUGUUGAAAUUUACUUUGAAGAAAAAUGGAAUUUAAUACUGGAAUUCGAACUGUUCGUGGCUUUUGAAAACAUAAAAGAAGAAAAUAGGGCAAAAAUAUGUUUGGUGACACAAAAAGGUUUCUAAAAAAUAUUUCUUGGAAGAUCAUUUUUUAGGAACUUUGAAAUAUCGUAUUCGGUGUUUUCAAAAUAGCAAGCACUGUAUACCUUGAAAUCGGUCCUUUUCAGGAAUCCCUUCCAGCAUUCUUGCUGAGAUCUGAACAGGUGUUAAAAUUAUCAUAUCUUCAUUUGUUUUUGUUCUUAUUCUUUGCCCUAUUGUUCAGUUGUCAGACAUGACCGAAGAAGCAGGCAUGUUUAGGGUGCAUCAUACCAUUGGGAGUGUUCUAUGUUGCAAAUGUGGUAUUCCAAUGACACCUAAUGCUGCCAAUAUGUGUGUCAAGUGUUUGCGCACUGAAGUUGAUAUUACCGAAGGUUUGCAGAAGCAUGCCACCCUCGUGCACUGCCCUGAGUGUGAUAGGUACUUUCGGCCACCAAAAACUUGGAUUGAACCCCAAUUGGAGUCCAAAGAACUCUUAACUUUAUGCUUGAAAACAUUGAAGAAUUUGAAUCAAGUUAGGUUAAUUCAUGCGGAAUUUAUUUGGACUGAACCUCACUCCAAGAGGAUCAAGGUCAAGCUAAGGGUUCAGAAGGAGGUUCUCAAUGGAGCAAUACUAGAGCAGGCUUAUAUUGUUGAAUACGUUCAACAAGAACAUAUGUGUGAGUCUUGCUCUAGGGUCCAGGCUAAUCCUGACCAGUGGGUCGCUUCUGUGCAAGUCCGGCAACAUGUUCCUCAUAGACGAACUUUGUUUUAUUUAGAGCAACUUAUUCUGAUGCAUGAUGCUGCAAGGUGUGCCAAAAAAAUUAAGCCAAUGAAUCAGGGAAUUGAUUUCUUUUUUGCAAAUUGGAGUCAUGGAAAGAAAUUUGUUGAAUUUAUUGGUAAAAUGGUUCCGAUCAAGAGUCAUCGCCCCAGCCAACAACUUGUCUCCCAUGAUCCCAAGAGCAAUAACUACUAUUAUAAGUACACUUUGUCAGUUGAAAUCUGCCCAAUAUGUCGCGAGGAUCUGAUCUGUCUCCCUCGUGAAGUUGCAUCUGGUUUGGGGAAUCCUCAUUCUCUUGUGAUUUGCACAAAAGUAACAAACCGAAUCACUUUUCUGGAUCCUUAUACUCUCAAGCACCAUUGCUUAGAUGCUGAACAGUAUUGGAGGUCACCUUUUAAGGCUUUGCUUUCUAGUAGGCAGCUUGUGGAAUAUAUAGUAUUGGACGUGGGGAUUGUUUAUUCUGAAGUUCAUGUUGGGGGCUCUAAGUAUGCUUUAGCUGAUGCUCAGGUGGCUCGUCUAUCAGAUUUUGGAAAGAAUGAUACAAUUUUCAACAUAACAACACAUCUAGGCCAUCUUUUGAACCCUGGUGACCAUGCUCUCGGUUAUGACAUGUUUGCAACUAAUAGUAAUGACAUGGAACUUGAAAAAUACAGAGAUUUUGACCUUCCACCUGCAAUUUUGAUAAGGAAAACUUAUGAAGAAAACUGCCAAGGAAAGGGUGGGAAGCCUCCUCCAUUGAUGAGUAGAGAGUACGAAGAGUUCUUAAGGCGUUUGGAGGACAACCCUGAAUUGACGCUUAAUAUAUCAUUACAUGAAAAUAAGGAAUACCCACCACCAUCAGUUAGAGAUGGAGAAGAGGAUUCAGCUUGUGGGGCUUUGGAGAAGUUGCUUGCUAAUGUUGAUUUAAGUGAUGAUGAAGAUGGGGAUGACGCCAUGGCUGAGUGACCUGAAGCAUUUGAGAAGUAAAACAAUAAUACUAUGGACACCAUUGAUGAAUUAAACCUUAUCUGGAAGAAAGAGGAUUAUUAUACUAAUCAUCAGCGUGAUGUCCACCAUGAUGUUCCAGCUGUGUUCUAUAAUUG
This 6101-nucleotide long non-coding RNA is filed under the name Vitis vinifera (wine grape). Its description in RNAcentral is "long non-coding RNA (VVIN_LNC002699)". The record is from RNAcentral. Lineage: Eukaryota; Viridiplantae; Streptophyta; Magnoliopsida; Vitales; Vitaceae.